RNAcentral lists this ribosomal RNA (415 nucleotides) under uncultured bacterium. RNAcentral's name for it is "bacterial SSU rRNA". It matches the Rfam family "Bacterial small subunit ribosomal RNA", at positions 355 to 776 of the family's 1533-position model. The record is from RNAcentral.
UCGAGAAUCUUCCGCAAUGGGCGAAAGCCUGACGGAGCGACACCGCGUGCAGGAUGAAGGCCUUCGGGUUGUAAACUGCUGUCACGCUAUAGGAACAGCUCUUCGGAGUCUGACCAAAGCGAAAGGAAGCACCGGCUAACUCCGUGCCAGCAGCCGCGGUAAGACGGAGGGUGCAAACGUUGCUCGGAAUCACUGGGCAUAAAGCGCACGUAGGCGGCUCUUUAAGUCGGAUGUGAAAUCCCCCGGCUCAACCGGGGAACUGCAUCCGAUACUGGGGAGCUCGAGAAUGGUUGGGGUGAGUGGAACUCCAGGUGGAGCGGUGAAAUGCGUAGAUAUCUGGAGGAACACCGGUGGCGAAAGCGGCUCACUGGACCAUCACUGACGCUGAGGUGCGAAAGCUAGGGGAGCAAACGGG